RNAcentral lists this ribosomal RNA (468 nucleotides) under uncultured bacterium. Its description in RNAcentral is "partial 16S ribosomal RNA". It matches the Rfam family "Bacterial small subunit ribosomal RNA", at positions 28 to 507 of the family's 1533-position model. The record is from RNAcentral.
GACGAACGCUGGCGGCGUGCUUAACACAUGCAAGUCGAACGGAAAGGCCCUGCUUUUGUGGGGUGCUCGAGUGGCGAACGGGUGAGUAACACGUGAGUAACCUGCCCUUGACUUUGGGAUAACUUCAGGAAACUGGGGCUAAUACCGGAUAGGAGCUCCUGCUGCAUGGUGGGGGUUGGAAAGUUUCGGCGGUUGGGGAUGGACUCGCGGCUUAUCAGCUUGUUGGUGGGGUAGUGGCUUACCAAGGCUUUGACGGGUAGCCGGCCUGAGAGGGUGACCGGCGACAUUGGGACUGAGAUACGGCCCAGACUCCUACGGGAGGCAGCAGUGGGGAAUAUUGCACAAUGGGCGGAAGCCUGAUGCGGCGACGCCGCGUGCGGGAUGACGGCCUUCGGGUUGUGAACCGCAUUCGCCUGUGACGAAGCGUGAGUGACGGUAAUGGGUAAAGAAGCACCGGCUAACUACGUG